ACAGAGCCACAGAGCGACCUUGAACAGUUUGUUGAUGUUCUUUUGGUUUGCACUGGGAUGUAAAGGAAAAAAUCUCUGUACUUUCAGUCUUUGUGGUGGCCCAGAUUGAAUGGGAAAUAUCU
Small nucleolar RNA from Lepus europaeus (European hare), 122 nucleotides. RefSeq annotates it as small nucleolar RNA SNORA31. The transcript has a single exon. NCBI's taxonomy places the organism in Eukaryota, Metazoa, Chordata, Mammalia, Lagomorpha, Leporidae. The record is from RefSeq and is a predicted model, not a curated record.